GGGGAUAAUAGCACUACCUACCAAGUGC
Molecule: non-coding RNA, 28 nt
Filed under: Homo sapiens (human)
Lineage: Eukaryota; Metazoa; Chordata; Mammalia; Primates; Hominidae
Source: RNAcentral